GUGUUUGCUUCGGCAGCACAUACACUAAAAUUGGAACGAUACAGGGAAGAUUAGCACGGCCCCUGUGCAAGAAGGACAUGCAGAUUUGUGAAGCAUUUCAUAUUUUU
Molecule: small nuclear RNA, 107 nt
Organism: Bubalus bubalis (water buffalo)
Lineage: Eukaryota; Metazoa; Chordata; Mammalia; Artiodactyla; Bovidae
Source: RefSeq, a predicted model, not a curated record